UAAGAAAACUAUCUUUUUUUUUUUUAACUUCUGCCACCUGUAUGUUGUUGCACACCCUGCUAGUAAUAGUUACCAAAUCCACUCAAAACAGACAUUGGACAAUGUAGUCAUAGAUAUACAAAAAGACUGGAUGGUUAUGGGUGGAAACUCCUGUUUUAAUCAGGAAUGACCAAGGGCUAAGCAGCAACAGCAACAAACAGUUAAGUUCAUUGAAUAAUAAAAACAAAAUAGUUUUGAAAUAUUUCUCCAAUAACCUUCAAUUCUCUUUUACAUUCCCUUUUCUUUAUUUUUCAGUUAAAAAAUGAAAUUUUAAUUAAACCCAAUUAAUUAUUCUUUGUGCAUGUUGGUCCUGUAAUAUAUUUAUUGGUACAAAAUAUAGAGUAUCUCCUGGGAGGAGGAGAGAGGUUUCUUCAGUGACAAGGAAAACCUCUCAUCAAUUUUUAUAAAUAUUUCAAUGAAACAAAACAUUAAGAAUGAAAACCUAAACGAUUCUGUCUAAUUGAAAGCUUUGUUUUCAGUUGAUUCUGCAUUUCUUUUUAAAACCUUUUUUUCCUUGCAGUUAUUGGUUGUGAGAAAACCAUUCUGUAAAAUGAUUCUGUGUAACAAUAAAUUGGCUGUGAAGAUUUGUUCUUAAAAUAUA
Octopus sinensis (East Asian common octopus) is the source of this 640-nucleotide long non-coding RNA. RefSeq lists it as uncharacterized. The transcript is spliced from 2 exons. Lineage: Eukaryota; Metazoa; Mollusca; Cephalopoda; Octopoda; Octopodidae. The record is from RefSeq and is a predicted model, not a curated record.